GCGUAAAGCGCACGCAGGCGGUCUGUCAAGUCGGAUGUGAAAUCCCCGGGCUCAACCUGGGAACUGCAUUCGAAACUGGCAGGCUUGAGUCUUGUAGAGGGGGGUAGAAUUCCAGGUGUAGCGGUGAAAUGCGUAGAGAUCUGGAGGAAUACCGGUGGCGAAGGCGGCCCCCUGGACAAAGACUGACGCUCAGGUGCGAAAGCGUGGGGAGCAAACAGGAUUAGAUACCCUGGUAGUCCACGCCGUAAACGAUGUCUACUUGGAGGUUGUGCCCUUGAGGCGUGGCUUCCGGAGCUAACGCGUUAAGUAGACCGCCUGGGGAGUACGGCCGCAAGGUUAAAACUCAAAUGAAUUGACGGGGGCCCGCACAAGCGGUGGAGCAUGUGGUUUAAUUCGAUGCAACGCGAAGAACCUUACCUGGUCUUGACAUCCACGGAAGUUUUCAGAGAU
This 450-nucleotide ribosomal RNA is filed under the name Salmonella enterica subsp. enterica. RNAcentral's name for it is "bacterial SSU rRNA". It matches the Rfam family "Bacterial small subunit ribosomal RNA", at positions 558 to 1007 of the family's 1533-position model. Lineage: Bacteria; Pseudomonadati; Pseudomonadota; Gammaproteobacteria; Enterobacterales; Enterobacteriaceae. The record is from RNAcentral.